This 511-nucleotide ribosomal RNA is filed under the name Xenorhabdus szentirmaii. RNAcentral describes it as "partial 23S ribosomal RNA". It matches the Rfam family "Bacterial large subunit ribosomal RNA", at positions 1 to 504 of the family's 2925-position model. RNAcentral also lists the same sequence under 1 other name. Lineage: Bacteria; Pseudomonadati; Pseudomonadota; Gammaproteobacteria; Enterobacterales; Morganellaceae. The record is from RNAcentral.
GGUUAAGUUAGAAAGGGCGCACGGUGGAUGCCUUGACACUAGGAGUCGAUGAAGGACGGGACUAACGCCGAUAUGCUUCGGGGAGCUGUAAGUAAGCUUUGAUCCGAAGAUUUCCGAAUGGGGAAACCCACUAUACGUAAUGGUAUGGUAUCCUUACCUGAAUACAUAGGGUAAGGAAGACAGACCCAGGGAACUGAAACAUCUAAGUACCUGGAGGAAGAGAAAGCAAAUGCGAUUUCCUGAGUAGCGGCGAGCGAAACGGAACAUAGCCCAAACCAAGAGGCUUGCCUCUUGGGGUUGUAGGACAUUCUAUACGGAGUUACAAAGGAACGAGGUAGACGAAGCGACCUGGAAAGGUCCGUCGUAGAGGGUAACAACCCCGUAGUCGAAACUUCGUUCUCUCUUGAAUGUAUCCUGAGUACGGCGGAACACGUGAAAUUCCGUCGGAAUCUGGGAGGACCAUCUCCCAAGGCUAAAUACUCCCUAGUGAUCGAUAGUGAACCAGUACCGU